GCUGCUUGGCACAGGCCUCCUUGGUGGAGAAGGACUUGGCACAGGGAUCCUUGGUGGAGAAGGACUUGGCACAGGCCUCCUUGGUGGAGAAGGACUUGGAACUGGCCUCCUUGGUGGGGAAGGACUUGGCAAUGGUCUCCUCAACAAUGGUCUCCUCGGCAAUGGCCUCCUUGGUAAUAACAGCCUUCUUGGAGAGACAGGUCUGCUUGGCACAGGGCUGCUUGGAAAAGGUCUCCUAGGCAAUGGAAGUCUGCUUGGACUCGAUGGUCUUCUGGGUGGAGCAGGAGGACUGCUGGGUGCAGGAGGGCUGCUGGGUGGUGGAGCCUCCCAGAAGAUGACACGCUCUGCCUGGUUGAAGGUGCUGAACCUCGAGAACGCCCGAGUGUCAUGGAAGGUUAUUCGUGGGACUGAGCUUGUGCUGAACCUGUACUCGAAGCUGGUGCUCCGCUUUCCGGGGAUUUUUCAGUUUCUGAGUGGAUCCUCAGUAGAAGCAAACAUCACAUCACACAUUGCCGUGACCCAGG
Sturnus vulgaris (Common starling) is the source of this 524-nucleotide non-coding RNA. Lineage: Eukaryota; Metazoa; Chordata; Aves; Passeriformes; Sturnidae. The record is from RefSeq and is a predicted model, not a curated record.